This 510-nucleotide ribosomal RNA is filed under the name Saldula brevicornis. RNAcentral's name for it is "partial 16S ribosomal RNA". It matches the Rfam family "Bacterial large subunit ribosomal RNA", at positions 1819 to 2600 of the family's 2925-position model. The record is from RNAcentral. Lineage: Eukaryota; Metazoa; Arthropoda; Insecta; Hemiptera; Saldidae.
GUCCUUUUGAUUUUUAUAUAAGGUCGGGCCUGCCCAAUGAUUUAUUUAAUGGCCGCAGUAUACUAACUGUGCAAAGGUAGCAUAAUCAUUUGUCUUUUAAUUGAAGGCUGGUAUGAACGGUUUGACGAGAAAUAUGCUUUCUUAUAUUAAUUAUUUUGAAUUUAAUUUUUGAGUUAAAAAGCUUAAAUUUUAUUGGAGGACGAGAAGACCCUAUAGAGCUUUAUAAAAUUUUAUUUAUUUUGUUUUUGGUUUAUAAAAUUUUAAUUUAUAAGAUUUUAUUUCGUUGGGGUGACGUGAAAAAAUAUUUAACUUUUCAUUUUUAUUUCAUUAAUAUAUGUAUUUUUGAUCCAGUAUUACUGAUUAUAAGAUUAAGCUACCUUAGGGAUAACAGCGUAAUUCUUUUGGAGAGUUGUUAUCGAUAAAAGAGUUUGCGACCUCGAUGUUGGAUUAAAAUAAGUACUAGGUGCAGCCGCUUAGUUACUAGGUCUGUUCGACCUUUAAAUUUUUACA